Molecule: non-coding RNA, 62 nt
Filed under: Brassica napus (rape)
Lineage: Eukaryota; Viridiplantae; Streptophyta; Magnoliopsida; Brassicales; Brassicaceae
Source: RNAcentral
GCCGAGCUUAGUAACGUAAGCUUGUAAUCCUAGUGGAGGCUACAAAGGUAAUAAGACUGUUG